CUUAAGCCAUGCGAGUCGAGAGGGGUAAGCCCUCGGCGCACUGCUCAGUAACACGCGGACAAUCUGCCCUCGAGACGGGGAUAACCCCGGGAAACUGGGAAUAAUACCCGAUAGAUCUGAGAUGAUGGAAGGCUCCCAGGUCCAAAUCCUGCGGGGCUCGAGGAUGGGUCUGCGGCCUAUCAGGUAGUAGGGGGUUUCACGGACCCCCUAGCCGAAGACGGGUACGGGCUUUGGGAGAAGUCGCCCGGAGAUGGAUUCUGAGACACGAAUCCAGGUCCUACGGGACGCAGCAGGCGCGAAACCUCCACAAUGUGGGCAACCACGAUGGGGGAACUCCAAGUGCCUACACUAUGUGUAGGCUGUUCUCGAGCCUAAAAAGCUCGAGAAGUAAGGGCCGGGUAAGACGGGUGCCAGCCGCCGCGGUAA
RNAcentral lists this ribosomal RNA (426 nucleotides) under uncultured archaeon. RNAcentral's name for it is "bacterial SSU rRNA". It matches the Rfam family "Archaeal small subunit ribosomal RNA", at positions 43 to 473 of the family's 1478-position model. The record is from RNAcentral.